RNAcentral lists this ribosomal RNA (460 nucleotides) under uncultured bacterium. RNAcentral's name for it is "partial 16S ribosomal RNA". It matches the Rfam family "Bacterial small subunit ribosomal RNA", at positions 338 to 795 of the family's 1533-position model. The record is from RNAcentral.
CCUACGGGUGGCAGCAGUGAGGAAUAUUGGUCAAUGGGCUUACGCCUGAACCAGCCAAGUCGCGUGAGGGAAGACUGCCCUAUGGGUUUUAACCCUCUUUUGUCAGGGAGCAAUUGGCGCUACGUGUAGCGUUAUCUAGAGUACCUGCAGAAAAAGCCUCGGCUAACUCCGUGCCAGCAGCCGCGGUAAUACGGAGGAUGCGAGCGUUCUCCGGAUUUAUUGGGUUUAAAGGGUGCGUAGGCGGAAUGCCAAGUCAGCGGUAAAAUCGCGGGGCUCAACCUCGCUCCGCCGUUGAAACUGGCGGUCUGGAGUGGGCGAGAAGUAUGCGGAAGGUGUGGUGUAGCGGUGAAAUGCAUAGAUAUCACGCAGAACUCCGAUUGCGAAGGCAGCAUACCGGCGCCCAACUGACGCUGAAGCACGAAAGCGUGGGUAUCGAACAGGAUUAGAUACCCCUGUAGUC